This is a non-coding RNA of Daphnia pulex (common water flea), 73 nucleotides long. The record is from Rfam. Lineage: Eukaryota; Metazoa; Arthropoda; Branchiopoda; Diplostraca; Daphniidae.
GCUGAAAUAGCUCAGUUGGGAGAGCGUUAGACUGAAAAUCUAAUGGUCCCUGGUUCGAUCGCGGGUUUCGGCA